GCGUGCCUAACACAUGCAAGUCGAACGAGAAAGUGGAGCAAUCCAUGAGUAAAGUGGCGACCGGGUGAGUAACACGUGACUAACCUACCCUCGAGUGGGGAAUAACUCCGGGAAACCGGGGCUAAUACCGCAUAACAUCGCAAGAUCAAAGCAGCAAUGCGCUUGAGGAGGGGGUCGCGGCUGAUUAGCUAGUUGGCGGGGUAACGGCCCACCAAGGCGAAGAUCGGUAUCCGGCCUGAGAGGGCGCACGGACACACUGGAACUGAAACACGGUCCAGACUCCUACGGGAGGCAGCAGUGGGGAAUUUUGCGCAAUGGGGGAAACCCUGACGCAGCAACGCCGCGUGGAGGAUGAAGCCCUUUGGGGCGUAAACUCCUUUCGACUCGGACGAUAAUGACGGUACGAGUGGAAGAAGCACCGGCUAACUCUGUGCCAGCAGCCGCGGUAAUACAGAGGGUGCGAGCGUNGUUCGGAAUUAUUGGGCGUUAAGGGCGC
This 496-nucleotide ribosomal RNA is filed under the name uncultured bacterium. RNAcentral describes it as "bacterial SSU rRNA". It matches the Rfam family "Bacterial small subunit ribosomal RNA", at positions 42 to 570 of the family's 1533-position model. The record is from RNAcentral.